UAUAUCAUCUCGCUCAUCUUCACCUGCCUUCGUCUUCGAGUCGAUCUUGCCCGUCGGAGCCCGGAGUGGAUGGAGCAGAUGUAGAGAGGUGGCCAGUCUUGUGACCUUGCAAUCAUCCUUACCACCAUUAACUAAAAAAAAAAAAAAAAAUACAAGACCUUUUUAUNNNNNNNNNNNNNNNNNNNNCUCGCUCAUCUUCACCUGCCUUCGUCUUCGAGUCGAUCUUGCCCGUCGGAGCCCGGAGUGGAUGGAGCAGAUGUAGAGAGGUGGCCAGUCUUGUGACCUUGCAAUCAUCCUUACCACCAUUAACUAAAAAAAAAAAAAAAUACAAGCCUUUUUUAUGGUAGAAAGAAAAAUCACACGUAAAAAUCACAUCUUUAAUCGGUUCCCCAAGAAUGAAUAUAAACACAGAAGAGCAGAGCGAAAAA
RNAcentral lists this long non-coding RNA (428 nucleotides) under Musa acuminata (dwarf banana). RNAcentral's name for it is "long non-coding RNA (MACU_LNC003898)". Lineage: Eukaryota; Viridiplantae; Streptophyta; Magnoliopsida; Zingiberales; Musaceae. The record is from RNAcentral.